AUUGGAUGAAACCGAUCAUUUUGAAAUACGACGUUUAAGUUCUAGGCGGCGGUACCGGGAAGCUUGUUGAGUAAACAAGACCGUAGUUAAACGAGAAACAUGAUGAAGGGAAGAACCGCCCGCAGACCUCAGAAGAAGCAGAGCAGCAACGAGAGAGAUCCAGUGGGGGUGUACUGCCGAGUGCGACCUCUAGGUGCGGAUGAUAAGGAAUGCUGUGUUGAGGUGAUCUCGAGCUCCACCGUUCAGCUGCAUACGCCCGACGGGCUCAAGGUCAAUCGAAAUGGAGAGUUC
Long non-coding RNA from Gadus chalcogrammus (walleye pollock), 291 nucleotides. RefSeq lists it as uncharacterized. Lineage: Eukaryota; Metazoa; Chordata; Actinopteri; Gadiformes; Gadidae. The transcript is spliced from 3 exons. The record is from RefSeq and is a predicted model, not a curated record.